CAAGUACUCCCUCCGUCCAGAAAUAUUUGUCGGAGGAAUGGAUGUAUCUAGACGUAUUUUAGCUUUAGAUGCAUCCAUUUAUAUCCAUUUCUGCGACGAGUAUUUCUGGACGGAGAGAGUACAAA
Molecule: non-coding RNA, 125 nt
Organism: Triticum aestivum (bread wheat)
Lineage: Eukaryota; Viridiplantae; Streptophyta; Magnoliopsida; Poales; Poaceae
Source: Rfam